This 491-nucleotide ribosomal RNA is filed under the name uncultured bacterium. Its description in RNAcentral is "partial 16S ribosomal RNA". It matches the Rfam family "Bacterial small subunit ribosomal RNA", at positions 29 to 507 of the family's 1533-position model. The record is from RNAcentral.
AGUGAACGCUGGCGGUAGGCCUAACACAUGCAAGUCGGACGGCAGCACAGUAAGAGCUUGCUCUUACGGGUGGCGAGUGGCGGACGGGUGAGGAAUACAUCGGAAUCUACUUUUUCGUGGGGAUAACGUAGGGAAACUUACGCUAAUACCGCAUACGACCUACGGGUGAAAGCAGGGGAUCUUCGGACCUUGCGCGAUUGAAUGAGCCGAUGUCGGAUUAGCUAGUUGGCGGGGUAAAGGCCCACCAAGGCGACGAUCCGUAGCUGGUCUGAGAGGAUGAUCAGCCACACUGGAACUGAGACACGGUCCAGACUCCUACGGGAGGCAGCAGUGGGGAAUAUUGGACAAUGGGCGCAAGCCUGAUCCAGCCAUACCGCGUGGGUGAAGAAGGCCUUCGGGUUGUAAAGCCCUUUUGUUGGGAAAGAAAAGCAGCAGGUUAAUACCCCGCUGUUCUGACGGUGCCCAAAGAAUAAGCACCGGCUAACUUCGUG